GAAAGAGUGGCCGAGCGGUCAAAGGCGGCAGGGUAAGGUCGAGGUGGGAAGCGCAAGCCAACACCGAAAGUCCUUUCCAACUAAUUUCCUGUUCACUUAGGGUGGCGCGGGUUCGAAUCCCGUCUCUUUCA
RNAcentral lists this transfer RNA (131 nucleotides) under Candida maltosa Xu316. It matches the Rfam family "tRNA". From Rfam's summary of the family: Transfer RNA (tRNA) molecules are approximately 80 nucleotides in length. Their secondary structure includes four short double-helical elements and three loops (D, anti-codon, and T loops). The record is from Rfam by way of RNAcentral. Lineage: Eukaryota; Fungi; Ascomycota; Pichiomycetes; Serinales; Debaryomycetaceae.